UUAUUUAGUCAUCUUAUCGAGUGGGGAAAGCUCACGAGCAGCGUAUUCGUCACUCGACCAAUCACUUUUGAGAAGGUCUGAGACAAGAACCAAUCGCUUUCCUCUCAAGACAUCAUCUGAGCAGAUGAGCAAGAGCUGAACUGUGAAUGUAUUGCGAGUCUUUCUAAAAGUACUACAAUAAAACAAAAAAAAUAAAGAUAGUAAAAAUACAGAUAGAAUAA
RNAcentral lists this RNase P RNA (221 nucleotides) under Carassius auratus (goldfish). Its description in RNAcentral is "Nuclear RNase P (ENSCARG00000001484.1)". It matches the Rfam family "Nuclear RNase P". Rfam says of the family: Ribonuclease P (RNase P) is a ubiquitous endoribonuclease, found in archaea, bacteria and eukarya as well as chloroplasts and mitochondria. Its best characterised activity is the generation of mature 5'-ends of tRNAs by cleaving the 5'-leader elements of precursor-tRNAs. The record is from RNAcentral. Lineage: Eukaryota; Metazoa; Chordata; Actinopteri; Cypriniformes; Cyprinidae.